UACGUAGGGUGCGAGCGUUGUCCGGAAUUACUGGGCGUAAAGAGCUUGUAGGUGGUUUGUCGCGUUGUUCGUGAAAUCUCACGGCUUAACUGUGAGCGUGCGGGCGAUACGGGCAGACUAGAGUACUGCAGGGGAGACUGGAAUUCCUGGUGUAGCGGUGAAAUGCGCAGAUAUCAGGAGGAACACCGGUGGCGAAGGCGGGUCUCUGGGCCACUACUGACGCUGAGGUGCGAAAGCGUGGGAAGCAAACAGG
This 253-nucleotide ribosomal RNA is filed under the name uncultured bacterium. RNAcentral describes it as "partial 16S ribosomal RNA". It matches the Rfam family "Bacterial small subunit ribosomal RNA", at positions 524 to 776 of the family's 1533-position model. The record is from RNAcentral.